RNAcentral lists this ribosomal RNA (797 nucleotides) under uncultured bacterium. RNAcentral describes it as "bacterial SSU rRNA". It matches the Rfam family "Bacterial small subunit ribosomal RNA", at positions 8 to 796 of the family's 1533-position model. The record is from RNAcentral.
AGAGUUUGAUCAUGGCUCAGAUUGAACGUUGGCGGCAGGCCUAAAACAUGCAAGUCGAACGGUAACAGCGGAAGCUUGCUUCCGGCUGACGAGUGGCGGACGGGUGAGUAACACGUAGGAAUCUACCUAGUAGUGGGGGACAACCCGGGGAAACCCGGGCUAAUACCGCAUACGCUCUACGGAGGAAAGCGGGGGAUCUUCGGACCUCGCGCUAUUGGAGGAGCCUGCGUCGGAUUAGCUAGUUGGUGGGGUAAAGGCCUACCAAGGCGACGAUCCGUAGCUGGUCUGAGAGGACGAUCAGCCACACUGGAACUGAGACACGGUCCAGACUCCUACGGGAGGCAGCAGUUAGGAAUCUUGGGCAAUGGGCGCAAGCCUGACCCAGCCAUGCCGCGUGUGUGAAGAAGGCCUUCGGGUUGUAAAGCACUUUCAGCGGUGAAGAAAAGCUCAGGGCCAAUAUCCUUGAGUCUUGACGUUAACCGCAGAAGAAGCACCGGCUAACUCCGUGCCAGCAGCCGCGGUAAUACGGAGGGUGCGAACGUUAAUCGGAAUCACUGGGCGUAAAGCGCGCGUAGGCGGUUUGUUAAGUGGGAUGUGAAAGCCCCGGGCUUAACCUGGGAAUUGCAUUUCAAACUGGCGAACUAGAGUGCGGUAGAGGGAGGUAGAAUUUCCUGUGUAGCGGUGAAAUGCGUAGAUAUAGGAAGGAAUACCAGUGGCGAAGGCGGCCUCCUGGAUCGACACUGACGCUAAGNNGCGAAAGCGUGGGGAGCAAACAGGAUUAGAUACCCUAGUAGUCC